ACGGGAGGCAGCAGUGGGGAAUAUUGGGUAAUGGGGGAAACCCUGACCCAGCAACGCCGCGUGAAGGAAGAAGGUCUUCGGAUCGUAAACUUCUGUCCUUGGUGAAGAGAAGAAGACGGUAGCCAAGGAGGAAGCCCCGGCUAACUACGUGCCAGCAGCCGCUGUAAUACGUAGGGGGCAAGCGUUGUCCGGAAUGAUUGGGCGUAAAGGGCGCGUAGGCGGCCUGUUAAGUCUGAAGUGAAAGUCCUGGCUUCAAGUUGGGAAUUGCUUUGGAUACUGGCGGGCUUGAGUGCAGGAGAGGUAAGUGGAAUUCCUAGUGUAGCGGUGAAAUGCGUAGAUAUUAGGAGGAACACCAGUGGCGAAGGCGGCUUACUGGACUGUAACUGACGUUGAGGCUCGAAAGCGUGGGGAGCAAACAGGAUUAGAUACCCUGGUA
Molecule: ribosomal RNA, 436 nt
Filed under: uncultured bacterium
Lineage: Bacteria
Description: partial 16S ribosomal RNA
Rfam family: Bacterial small subunit ribosomal RNA
Source: RNAcentral